CGCUUGACCCUGCCUUCGUCCCCCUCCCCCCCCCCCUGUAAGCAAACAUGGAAUAGGCUAGUAAUUGGACGUUGCCGAAGUUGGGUGAAGUCUCGUCUUCCGUGCGGUCCCCAAGAUACAGAGCGCGAGCAAAGGAAACUCCAGCCCAUGCUGUCUAGCCCCCGGCGACCUCAGGCGAUUCUUAUGAAACCCCCUUCAAUACUCUUCGCACUCACCCGUGCUCAAAGACAACACUACAUCCUACCAUCAGUGCCGUCUUCGUAUGUCCCACAGUCUCCUCCUAGCAACCUUGUCGCCCCUGGCACUAGGGCUUCCAAUCUCUGUGAUCCCCUGAAGCUUUUCUGAUAACAGCGGUGAUUGCCCAGCGCGCGCUGCUGUUGCCCACUCACCGCCGAUGGAUGAUUCGCUGGUUCGUGUCGACGUUUUCUCUCGACUCUACCUCAAUCACCCCUCCCUGUAACCUAAAAAUUGAAAAAUGAGGACACGAACGGGACAAAGACCGCGAACCGGGCGAACAAGUUACAACUUCAUUACAGACUGGGGCAGCAUGUAUUGUUACCAAACGAUUUCAGCAGAACGCCAUGGUUAACAACUCAGCCCAUUUUAUGACGCAUUUUAUGGCAAGCGUUACCUCUUUCUGUAUACUGAGAUGGACACAACGAUUGUUUCAGAUUGAAACAUCCCGUAAAAACAAUCGAUCUACUUGAAACCAUGUUACCACGCUGACUGAUCUCGCGGAGGUGUCAUCAAGUGGCCGGCUUGAGCCGUGAUUUCGCCAUUCUCGAUUUUUUUUGCAGAUCUGUAUGAAGGAUGGCGUGCAUCAAACAGCGCAGAAAAUAAUCUACGACCUGAAAGACCAUGUUCAUGAAGCGAUUUCUAAAAUUUACGCUGAGUCUUGCGAUCUAAAAUUGCGCUAAAUAGAUCUGGGUGUGGAAGCAGUGAUUG
Long non-coding RNA from Varroa destructor (honeybee mite), 945 nucleotides. RefSeq lists it as uncharacterized. NCBI's taxonomy places the organism in Eukaryota, Metazoa, Arthropoda, Arachnida, Mesostigmata, Varroidae. The record is from RefSeq and is a predicted model, not a curated record.